RNAcentral lists this ribosomal RNA (460 nucleotides) under uncultured bacterium. Its description in RNAcentral is "partial 16S ribosomal RNA". It matches the Rfam family "Bacterial small subunit ribosomal RNA", at positions 338 to 795 of the family's 1533-position model. The record is from RNAcentral.
CCUACGGGAGGCAGCAGUGAGGAAUAUUGGUCAAUGGACGCAAGUCUGAACCAGCCAUGCCGCGUGCAGGAAGACGGCCCUAUGAGUUGUAAACUGCUUUUGUACGAGGGUAAACGCAGACACGCGUAUCUGUCUGCAAGUAUCGUACGAAUAAGGACCGGCUAAUUCCGUGCCAGCAGCCGCGGUAAUACGGAGGGUUCAAGCGUUAUCCGGAUUUAUUGGGUUUAAAGGGGGCGUAGGCGGUCGGAUAAGUUAGAGGUGAAAUCCCGAGGCUCAACUUCGGAAUUGCCUCGGAUACUGUUCGGCUAGAGAGUGGUUGCGGUAGGCGGAAUGUGUGGUGUAGCGGUGAAAUGCUUAGAGAUCAUACAGAACACCGGUUGCGAAGGCAGCUUACCGAGCUACUUCUGACGUUGAGGCACGAAAGCGUGGGGAGCAAACAGGAUUAGAUACCCGUGUAGUC